CACCUCUCUACCAAAGUUGGAGGGAAGCUUCAACAUCUGUCAUCUGAAGUCUCGUUGGUUGCUACAUUAACCAGAGUUCUGAAGGCUUCCUCCAAUGUUCUUUUCAUAAUAUCACAUGGACUAUCCUUGCUUUGUCUUAUUGUUAUUUCGAGUCAUCUCUCCUUCCUGACUCUCUCCACUUCCACUUUGGCUUGAGCAGCAACUGUUGGAAAAAGACUGAACAAUGGACCAAGUUAGUGGAGUGAGGAGGACAAGUACUCAGAGGAAGGACAAGUACUCAGAGACACUGAAACGGAAAGACCUGGCAUGGAAUGAAGGUCAGCAGAUGGAAUCUAGAAGCCAGGGGGUGGUACAGUUCUGUCAUAAAAUUGCUAAAAGUGCCAAGACUUUAAUUAAAAAAAAAUCAAGUGCCAAG
Molecule: long non-coding RNA, 415 nt
Filed under: Phascolarctos cinereus (koala)
Lineage: Eukaryota; Metazoa; Chordata; Mammalia; Diprotodontia; Phascolarctidae
Description: lncRNA (ENSPCIG00000007598.2)
Source: RNAcentral